This 614-nucleotide ribosomal RNA is filed under the name Stereodiscus parmuliformis. RNAcentral's name for it is "Aleurodiscus parmuliformis partial large subunit ribosomal RNA". It matches the Rfam family "Eukaryotic large subunit ribosomal RNA", at positions 57 to 655 of the family's 3401-position model. Lineage: Eukaryota; Fungi; Basidiomycota; Agaricomycetes; Russulales; Stereaceae. The record is from RNAcentral.
AAAAGAAACUAACAAGGAUUCCCCUAGUAACUGCGAGUGAAGCGGGAAAAGCUCAAAUUUAAAAUCUGGCGGUCUUCGGCCGUCCGAGUUGUAGUCUGGAGAAGCGUUUUCCGCGUUGGACCGUGUACAAGUUUCCUGGAACGGAGCGUCAUAGAGGGUGAGAAUCCCGUCUUUGACACGGACCCCAAUGCUUUGUGAUGCGCUCUCAAAGAGUCGAGUUGUUUGGGAAUGCAGCUCAAAAUGGGUGGUGAAUUCCAUCUAAAGCUAAAUAUUGGCGAGAGACCGAUAGCGAACAAGUACCGUGAGGGAAAGAUGAAAAGCACUUUGGAAAGAGAGUUAAACAGUACGUGAAAUUGUUGAAAGGGAAACGCUUGAAGUCAGUCGCGUCGUCCGGGACUCAGCCUUGCUCUCGCUUGGUGUACUUUCCGGUCGACGGGCCAGCAUCAAUUUUGACCGCGAGAUAAAGUCGGAGGAAAUGUGGCUCUUUCGGGAGUGUUAUAGUCCUUCGUCGCAUGUCGCGGUUGGGAUUGAGGAACUCAGCACGCCUUUAUGGCCGGGGUUCGCCCACGUUCGUGCUUAGGAUGCUGGCGUAAUGGCUUUAAACGACCCGUCUU